GAGAGGUAACGGCUCACCAAGGCAUCGACGGGUAGCUGGUCUGAGAGGAUGAUCAGCCACACUGGAACUGAGACACGGUCCAGACUCCUACGGGAGGCAGCAGUGGGGAAUCUUGCACAAUGGGCGCAAGCCUGAUGCAGCGAUGCCGCGUGCGGGAAGAAGGCCCUAGGGUUGUAAACCGCUUUCAGGAGGGAAGAAAAUGACGGUACCUCCAGAAGAAGCCCCGGCCAACUACGUGCCAGCAGCCGCGGUAAGACGUAGGGGGCGAGCGUUGUCCGGAUUUAUUGGGCGUAAAGGGCUCGUAGGUGGUUGCGUAAGUCGGAUGUGAAAACUCAAGGCUCAACCUUGAGACGCCAUCCGAUACUGCGGUGACUUGAGUUCGGUAGAGGAGUGUGGAAUUCCUGGUGUAGCGGUGAAAUGCGCAGAUAUCAGGAGGAACACCAACAGCGAAGGCAGCACUCUGGGCCGAUACUGACACUGAGGAGCGAAAGCAUGGGGAGCAAACAGGAUUAGAUACCCUGGUAGUCCAUGCCGUAAACGUUGGGCACUAGGUGUGGGGAUCUAUCAACGAUCUCCGCGCCGUCGCUAACGCAUUAAGUG
This 600-nucleotide ribosomal RNA is filed under the name uncultured Actinomycetes bacterium. RNAcentral describes it as "bacterial SSU rRNA". It matches the Rfam family "Bacterial small subunit ribosomal RNA", at positions 252 to 866 of the family's 1533-position model. The record is from RNAcentral. Lineage: Bacteria; Bacillati; Actinomycetota; Actinomycetes.